This 253-nucleotide ribosomal RNA is filed under the name uncultured bacterium. RNAcentral describes it as "partial 16S ribosomal RNA". It matches the Rfam family "Bacterial small subunit ribosomal RNA", at positions 524 to 776 of the family's 1533-position model. The record is from RNAcentral.
GACGAACCGUGCGAACGUUGUUCGGAAUCACUGGGCUUAAAGGGUGCGUAGGCGGGCCGCAAAGUCAGGGGUGAAAUCCUCCAGCUUAACUGGAGAAGUGCCUUUGAUACUGGCGGCCUUGAGGAAGGUAGGGGCAUGCGGAACUGAUGGUGGAGCGGUGAAAUGUGUUGAUAUCAUCAGGAACUCCGGUGGCGAAAGCGGCGUGCUGGACCUUUUCUGACGCUGAUGCACGAAAGCCAGGGGAGCAAACGGG